RNAcentral lists this ribosomal RNA (437 nucleotides) under uncultured bacterium. RNAcentral describes it as "bacterial SSU rRNA". It matches the Rfam family "Bacterial small subunit ribosomal RNA", at positions 29 to 511 of the family's 1533-position model. The record is from RNAcentral.
AACGAACGCUGGCGGCACGCCUAACACAUGCAAGUCGAGCGCUACCUUCGGGUGGAGCGGCGGACGGGUUAGUAACGCGUGGGAACAUACCCUUCUCUAAGGAAUAGCCUCUGGAAACGGAGAGUAAUACCUUAUACGCCCUUCGGGGGAAAGAUUUAUCGGUGAAGGAUUGGCCCGCGUUAGAUUAGAUAGUUGGUGGGGUAAUGGCCUACCAAGUCUACGAUCUAUAGCUGGUUUGAGAGGAUGAUCAGCAACACUGGGACUGAGACACGGCCCAGACUCCUACGGGAGGCAGCAGUGGGGAAUCUUAGACAAUGGGGCGAAAGCCUGAUCUAGCGAUGCCGCGUGUGUGACGAAGGCCUUAGGGUCGUAAAGCACUUUCGCCAGGGAUGAUAAUGACAGUACCUGGUAAAGAACCCCGGCUAACUCCGUGCCAG